CUGGGGGUGAGAGAGACAGGUGAGGGACAGGUGAGACAGUGAGAGAUCUCCAGAGCGUUCCUGAACACCACCUGGGCAAAAAGGGACAGUGAGAGAUCUCCAGAGCGUUCCUGAACACCACCUGGGGAUGGGAGAGACAGGUGAGGGACAGGUGAGACAGUGAGAGAUCUCCAGAACGUUCCUGAACACAACCUGGGCAAAAAGGGACAGUGAGAGAUCUCCAGAGCGUUCCUGAACACAACCUGGGCACAAAGGGACAGUGAGAGAUCUCCAGAGCGUUCCUGAACACAACCUGGGCAUGGGGGAGAGACAGGUGAGGGACAGGUGAGACAGUGAGAGAUCUCCAGAGCGUUCCUGAACACCACCUGGACAGGAGAGGGACAGUGAGAGGGGCUGGAACCUUCCUGAACACAACCUGGGCAAAAAGGGACAGUGAGAGAUCUCCAGAGCGUUCCUGAACACAACCUGGGCAAAAAGGGACAGUGAGAGAUCUCCAGAGCGUUCCUGAACACAACCUGGGCACAAAGGGACAGUGAGAGAUCUCCAGAGCGUUCCUGAACACAACCUGGGCAUGGGAGAGACAGGUGAGGGACAGUGAGAGGGGCUGGAACCUUCCUGAACACAACCUGGGCACAGAGAGGGACAGGUAAGAGAUCUCCAGAGUGUUCCUGAACACCACCUGGACAUAGGGACAGUGAGAGGGGCUGGAACCUUCCUGAACACCACCUGGGCAUGGGAGAGACAGUGAGAGAUCUCCAGAGUGUUCCUGAACACCACCUGGGCACAAAAAGGUCACAAAAUGGACCCAAAAAGAACCCAGAAUGGUCACAGAAAGGUGACAAAUGAGACACAAGGAUGGGCACCUCUGUGCACCCACCUGGAUGGCGCAGAGCCUGGCAAUGCCCUCCUGCCCUUGCACCCUGGCGCUGCCUUGCAGCUGCACCGGUGCCAUUGGGCGUUUUUACACCUCCAUUUUUCAUUAUUUAUAUUUUCCCUCUAUUUUACAUUAUUUUUCACCCCGUUUCCACUCUCUGCACCCACCUGGAUGGCGCAGAGCCUGGAGAUGCCCUCCUGCCCUUUCACCCUGGCGCUGCCUUGCAGCUGCACCGGCGCCAUUGG
Agelaius phoeniceus (red-winged blackbird) is the source of this 1119-nucleotide non-coding RNA. The record is from RefSeq and is a predicted model, not a curated record. Lineage: Eukaryota; Metazoa; Chordata; Aves; Passeriformes; Icteridae.